Bombina bombina (fire-bellied toad) is the source of this 264-nucleotide long non-coding RNA. RefSeq lists it as uncharacterized. The transcript is spliced from 2 exons. NCBI's taxonomy places the organism in Eukaryota, Metazoa, Chordata, Amphibia, Anura, Bombinatoridae. The record is from RefSeq and is a predicted model, not a curated record.
UAUACUGUUGUAAACACAGCUGCCUUAUAGUGCGCAAGACACUCUUCUGAGCCUACCUAGGUAUGCUCUCCAACAAAGGAUACCAAGAGAAUAAGUACAUUUUGAUAAUGGGGGUAAAAUUUACUUUUUAAUCAAAUACUCUGCCUAAACCAUGAACUGUUAAUUAUAACUUUCAUGUACCUUUAAAGCCUGAGUGUUUAGGGUGUUAGCUUUUUUUGUAAUAUUCUAUCAUUUUUUUAACUAAAAAAUAGUUAUACAAACUAA